This 487-nucleotide unclassified non-coding RNA is filed under the name uncultured Glomus. Its description in RNAcentral is "SSU rRNA". It matches the Rfam family "Eukaryotic small subunit ribosomal RNA", at positions 569 to 1061 of the family's 1831-position model. The record is from RNAcentral. Lineage: Eukaryota; Fungi; Glomeromycota; Glomeromycetes; Glomerales; Glomeraceae.
AGCAGCCGCGGUAAUUCCAGCUCCAAUAGCGUAUAUUAAAGUUGUUGCAGUUAAAAAGCUCGUAGUUGAAUUUCGGGAUCAAUACGUCGGUCGUGCUUCGGUACGUACUGGCGUAAUUGAUUUCUCCCUUCUGACGAACCAUGAUGUCAUUAACUUGGUGUCAUGGGAAAUCAGGACUGUUACUUUGAAAAAAUUAGAGUGUUUAAAGCAGGCUCACGCUUGAAUACAUUAGCAUGGAAUAAUGAAAUAGGACGUUCGAUCCUAUUUUGUUGGUUUUUAGGAUCAACGUAAUGAUUAAUAGGGAUAGUUGGGGGCAUUAGUAUUCAAUUGUCAGAGGUGAAAUUCUUGGAUUUAUUGAAGACUAACUACUGCGAAAGCAUUUGCCAAGGAUGUUUUCAUUAAUCAAGAACGAAAGUUAGGGGAUCGAAGACGAUCAGAUACCGUCGUAGUCUUAACCAUAAACUAUGCCGACUAGGGAUCGGAUGAU